RNAcentral lists this unclassified non-coding RNA (378 nucleotides) under Hevea brasiliensis (rubber tree). The record is from RNAcentral. Lineage: Eukaryota; Viridiplantae; Streptophyta; Magnoliopsida; Malpighiales; Euphorbiaceae.
GUAUUAUAUUCCCUUGAAUUCAGGUUAGUCUUGUGCUGCAAUUUUAUCUUUUUUUCUUUAUGGGACUCCUGAUGGGCAAUUUUAAAUGGGUUUUAGGUAAGUUGUUUAAUUAUGGAAAUGUGCAUAUAAGUUUAAGAUUUGAAGUAGCUUUUAACUUUUAUUUUUGGUAUAUGUAUGUGUGAUGCCGUGCCUUUUUGAGUUGUUAAUUUGUUUGCUUUUGAGAAAUGGAUAAGAAGUUUGGUUAAACACGUAAGAAAAGUUGUUUGGCGAAUUUAGCUUUCGUAUUUGUGAAGUUGGACCUCGAACCCUCGGCAAAAAGUGGCAGCGUCCCACCAGGAACGCCCUUUUUAUUUGUGAAGUUGGAAUGCCACUGCUACG